This 300-nucleotide ribosomal RNA is filed under the name Triticum aestivum (bread wheat). RNAcentral describes it as "partial small subunit ribosomal RNA". The record is from RNAcentral. Lineage: Eukaryota; Viridiplantae; Streptophyta; Magnoliopsida; Poales; Poaceae.
AUGGGUCCUCUUGACAUUCUGAAUUAUUUGAAGAAGCGCCCCAUAAUCUAUCCUAAUGUUGUUAUUGCAUACAAAAUUUUGUUGACCAUUCCUGUGACUGUUGCAUCUGUUGAAAGGAGUUUUUCUAAACUCAAGUUCUUAAAGUUAUACUUGCGUUCUACUAUGACACAAGAGAGACUUAAUGGAUUGGCGACAAUAGCACUUGAAAAUGAUGUCUUGGAGAAGAUAAAGUACAAAGAUAUGAUUGAAGAUUUUAUUUCAAGAAGUACUAGACGGAUGCUCCUUUUUGGUAGAACAUGA